CAGUCGCCGCGGGAAUACGUAGGUGGCAGGCGUUGUCCGGAAUUAUUGGGCGUAAAGCGCGCGUAGGUGGUUUAAUAAGUCUGAUGUGAAAGCCCACGGCUCAACCGUGGAGGGUCAUUGGAAACUGUUAAACUCGAGUGCAGGAGAGAAAAGUGGAAUUCCUAGUGUAGCGGUGAAAUGCGUAGAGAUUAGGAGGAACACCAGUGGCGAAGGCGGCUUUUUGGCCUGUAACUGACACUGAGGCGCGAAAGCGUGGGGAGCAAACAGGAUUAGAUACCCCAGUAGUCCCUGUCUCUUAUAA
This 301-nucleotide ribosomal RNA is filed under the name uncultured bacterium. Its description in RNAcentral is "partial 16S ribosomal RNA". It matches the Rfam family "Bacterial small subunit ribosomal RNA", at positions 509 to 809 of the family's 1533-position model. The record is from RNAcentral.